Hydra vulgaris (swiftwater hydra) is the source of this 301-nucleotide non-coding RNA. Lineage: Eukaryota; Metazoa; Cnidaria; Hydrozoa; Anthoathecata; Hydridae. The record is from RefSeq and is a predicted model, not a curated record.
AUUGUAUUACAAAAUACUCUUGUAUAAUGUGAAUCAAUUGCAAUUGAUGGAAUAUCUUUAAAAUGCUGAGAAUAUUUUCCAACAAUUUUGUGAUCUCCAUAAAUAUGAAGUGGAAAGGUGGAAAUAUGCUUUAAGAGCACUAAUUUAUAUGGUGUAGUGAAAGUUCAUGUAAUUUUUUCAAAAUCGAAUAUGUGGAAAGGAGCUGUUUGGAAUGAAGAUUUACAAGAAGAAGUAAUUCCAUCUAAUUGAAUUAGUGAUAAAAAUGUGUGUCGGCUUCCAGUUACCAAAGCAUUGACUGCAC